RNAcentral lists this ribosomal RNA (365 nucleotides) under uncultured eukaryote. RNAcentral describes it as "partial 18S ribosomal RNA". It matches the Rfam family "Eukaryotic small subunit ribosomal RNA", at positions 592 to 976 of the family's 1831-position model. The record is from RNAcentral.
UAAUAGUGUAUAUUAAAGUUGUUGCAGUUAAAAAGCUCGUAGUUGAAUUUCUGGCCAGAGCUAGUGUUGGCUUCGGUCAUGCUAGUUUUGGUCAUCCGUUUGCAAACCGUAUUCAUCCUUCACUGGUUGGUGCGGGGAGUAAACAUUUUACCUUGAAAAAAUUAGAGUGUUUCAGGCAGGCUUUUGCCAGAAUACAUUAGCAUGGAAUAAUGGAAUAGGACUCGUCCAUUUUGUUGGUUAUUGGAUCUGAGUAAUGAUUAAUAGGGACAGUUGGGGGCAUUAGUAUCUAAUUGUCAGAGGUGAAAUUCUUGGAUUUAUUAAAGACUAACUUAUGCGAAAGCAUUUGCCAAGGAUGUUUUCAUUAA